Molecule: non-coding RNA, 733 nt
Organism: Salvia hispanica
Lineage: Eukaryota; Viridiplantae; Streptophyta; Magnoliopsida; Lamiales; Lamiaceae
Source: RefSeq, a predicted model, not a curated record
UAGAAGCUUCUCCUCUCCCCCUCAUUCCAUCGUGACUAACAAGAAGAGAAAAGAGCUCUCCCCUUCCUCCCUCCGGCGGCGUCCCCUCCUCCUCGCCAUCUUCGACAGGUAUGAUUUGUAAAGGUCUUGAAAUCAUUGAAUCGGUGACAUAUUGGGGUUGUGGGGCUCCUCGUGUCAAUGGGGUGCCUAAAUUAUGCUUAUGAGAUAAGUUUUCCAAUUGAUUUAGUCAUUAAAGUCUAUAUGCUUCCUUCCUUUUUACUUCAUGAAUUUGGUGAAUUUGGGGCAUUUGUCUUACUGUUAUGGAUAGCUUGAUGGUGGGAGAUGAUGUUAAACUUGCUGUGCAUUUGUUAAUGUUACUUGGGCAUAGUGGCGGAGCAACAUGGGAACAAGGGAUACCCAAAAUUUGAGUUGACGCUGAUCUUGUCUGCGCCAAGCUAACAUUUCUGGCGACAAUGGUACAGUGGAAGAUCUGCUGGCCUCUGUGCUCUGCAUCAGCAUUCCUUCUCCAGUGAUAUACGACUCUAGGCUGCUGCCAUAUGAGAAAGUUGGAAUCCGUGAGCUUCAAGGAGAGUGGUGGAUUGCUAGACAAUGUCGGUAUGGCUGUGUUUGGUGAAGGAGAGUCUGAUGUGGAUCCAUGUAUUUUAUGAUCCAUUUCCCAAGGAUUUACCCAAUUUCUAGGUGAUUGAUCUAAUAUUUUUGUGAAGUAGAUUUUCUAUUGUAUCAAUAAAGGCAA